CCCUUAGAUGUUCUGGGCCGCGCGCGCGCUACACUGAUGCAUUCAACGAGUGUACCUUGGCCGAGAGGCCUGGGCAAUCUUUUGAACGUGCAUCGUGAUAGGGAUAGAUUAUUGCAAUUAUUAAUCUUGAACGAGGAAUUCCUAGUAAACGCAGUUCAUCAAACUGCAUUGAUUACGUCCCUGCCCUUUGUACACACCGCCCGUCGCACCUACCGAUUGGAUGGUCCGGUGAAGCCUCGGGAUUGUGGCGGUUGCCUUUAUUGGUGGCCGCCGCGAGAACUUGUCUAAACCUUAUCAUCUAGAGGAAGGUGAAGUCGUAACA
Molecule: ribosomal RNA, 322 nt
Filed under: uncultured eukaryote
Lineage: Eukaryota
Description: partial 18S ribosomal RNA
Rfam family: Eukaryotic small subunit ribosomal RNA
Source: RNAcentral